UGAGUACGAGAUGCUACGGCAUCGAAGCAGUCUAUGUCAUACUUCCAAGAAAAGCUUGCACUGUCAUAAACAAAGAAUGCCUGUACCAUAACCGACACAGGUGGGUAGGUAGAGUAUACUAAGGGGCGCGAGAUAACUCUCUCUAAGGAACUCGGCAAAAUGACUCCGUAACUUCGGGAGAAGGAGUGCCUUAUUUCUAAGGUUGCAAUAACAAGAUCCGAGCAACUGUUUACCAAAAACACAGGUCUCCGCUAAGUCGUAAGACGAUGUAUGGGGGCUGACGCCUGCCCAGUGCCAGAAGGUUAAAGAAGUUGGUUAGCAUUAGCGAAGCUGAUAACUGAAGCCCUGGUGAACGGCGGCCGUAACGAUAACGGUCCUAAGGUAGCGAAAUUCCUUGUCGGGUAAGUUCCGACCCGCACGAAAGGCGUAAUGAUUUGGAUACUGUCUCGGAGAGGGGCUCGGUGAAAUAGACUUGUCUGUGAAGAUGCGGACUACCUGCACCUGGACAGAAAGACCCUAUGAAGCUUUACUGUAACUUGAGAUUGAAAUUGGACUUUAUUUGCGCAGUAUAGGUGGGAGGCGUUGAGAAUAAUCUUGCGGGAUUGUUGGAGCCAUCAGUGAGAUACCACUCUUGUAAUGUUAGAUUUCUAACUUUGUAUCAUUAUCUGGUCAAAGAACAGUUUCAGGCGGGCAGUUUGACUGGGGCGGUCGCCUCCCAAAGGGUAACGGAGGCGCACAAAGGUUUCCUCUGAACGGGUAGAAAUCGUAUCUAGAGUGUAAAGGCAUAAGGAAGCUUGACUGUGAGACCUACAAGUCGAGCAGGGACGAAAGUCGGUCUUAGUGAUCUGACGGUGCUGAGUGGAAAGGCCGUCACUCAACGGAUAAAAGUUACUCUAGGAUAACAGGCUGAUCUCCCCCAAGAGUUCACAUCGACGGGGAGGUUUGGCACCUCGAUGUCGGCUCAUCGCAUCCUGGGGCGGUAGUCCGUCCCAAGGGUUGGGCUGUUCGCCCAUGAAAGCGGUACGCGAGCUGGGUUCAGAACGUCGUGAGACAGUUCGGUCCAUAUCCGGUGUAGGCGUUAGAAUAUUGAGAGGAGCCUUCUCUAGUACGAGAGGACCGAGAAGGACAUACCUCUGGUGUACCAGUUAUCGUGCCAACGGUAAACGCUGGGUAGCUAUGUAUGGAGUGGAUAACCGCUGAAAGCAUCUAAGUGGGAAGCCCACCUCAAGAUAAGUAUUCUCAC
RNAcentral lists this ribosomal RNA (1243 nucleotides) under metagenome. Its description in RNAcentral is "bacterial LSU rRNA". It matches the Rfam family "Bacterial large subunit ribosomal RNA", at positions 1564 to 2817 of the family's 2925-position model. The record is from RNAcentral.